CCCAGUCAAGAGAGGAGAACUCUGUGUGAGCUGGAAAGAAACUGUGUAUGUUGUGCUUUGAGAUUUUGUGGCCGAAACUCGGCCUCUUCAGAUUUUGUGGAAUAGAAAUGUGGAGCCAGAGUUUUGGGUGAAGGGGAAAAAAGACAGCUUUCCUGCUCUGCCAGACAAGACAAAGAUGGGUCACAGCAGGCUAGUGCCCUAAAGACUGUUCUUCCCCUGGUUUUUUUAGUUUGGGAGUGGAAAACAGCAGCAGGCCUCUGGGGCCCCGGGCUUGAAUGUAAAUGGAAGAGCCAUCGUCCACUUCACUGAUAGGCAGGAAAGCCAAACGAUUACUCUUAACCUUCUGCAACCAGCUUUUCCAGAGAAGGUCAAGGAACAAUAACUCCAAAGACAACUAGAAACCAUCCCCGGACCCACUGGUGCUGCCUUGAUGACUCUGAAAUGAUCUACGGACGAAGAACAAUACAGACACCUGCGUCAACAACCCUGUCUCCUGAGCUAAAGCUAUCACCUCCUUGCUAUCCCCUCGCAAGGAAAUAUCCAAAGGUGCUAAUUCCCUCCACUGUUCCUGUGUAAUGAAGGCUGUGAAAAUCACAAGAAGAGGGGAUGCAGCACUUUUCUUCUCACCUGAGAGGUAGCUCACUCAAGGAGCGUGGUCAUAUUGGAAGAAGAUGUGACAUGGUGGACUCCAACCUUUCUAGUUAUGCAUACACUACACCCCCAAUUUUUGAACUGGCACCCCCAGUUCAUAUGCCCUAGCAUUAUUGGUUAUUAUCUCAAAGCAACCAUUUAUGGGCAUUCAUCUGAUCAAUCUUUAUAUAAGUCCAAAUUGCAGGUAAACAUGAUCUUUUUUUGUGUGAUUUCUUGGUAGUUCUUGUUAGUGUGUAUAUGCAAAACUGCAUCACUUUGUUGUACAGUAGAAAUGAUCAAAACGUUGUAAAUCAGGUAUACUUCAAUCAAACUUUUUAAGGAGUUCCCGUCGUGGCGCAGUGGUUAACAAAUCCGACUAGGAA
Molecule: non-coding RNA, 1013 nt
Organism: Sus scrofa (pig)
Lineage: Eukaryota; Metazoa; Chordata; Mammalia; Artiodactyla; Suidae
Source: RefSeq, a predicted model, not a curated record